UCCUAAAUUCUUCGAAUUUUGUU
RNAcentral lists this non-coding RNA (23 nucleotides) under Rattus norvegicus (Norway rat). Lineage: Eukaryota; Metazoa; Chordata; Mammalia; Rodentia; Muridae. The record is from RNAcentral.